AUUGAACGCUGGCGGCAUGCCUUACACAUGCAAGUCGAACGGCAGCACGGGUGCUUGCACCUGGUGGCGAGUGGCGAACGGGUGAGUAAUAUAUCGGAACGUACCUUAUCGUGGGGGAUAACGCAGCGAAAGCUGCGCUAAUACCGCAUAUUCUGUGAGCAGGAAAGCAGGGGAUCGCAAGACCUUGCGCUGAUUGAGCGGCCGAUAUCAGAUUAGCUAGUUGGUGAGGUAAAGGCUCACCAAGGCGACGAUCUGUAGCGGGUCUGAGAGGAUGAUCCGCCACACUGGGACUGAGACACGGCCCAGACUCCUACGGGAGGCAGCAGUGGGGAAUUUUGGACAAUGGGCGCAAGCCUGAUCCAGCAAUGCCGCGUGCAGGAAGAAGGCCUUCGGGUUGUAAACUGCUUUGUACGGAACGAAAAGGACUCUGGUUAAUACCUGGGGCUCAUGACGGUACCGUAAGAAUAAGCA
Molecule: ribosomal RNA, 471 nt
Filed under: uncultured bacterium
Lineage: Bacteria
Description: bacterial SSU rRNA
Rfam family: Bacterial small subunit ribosomal RNA
Source: RNAcentral